GAUGUAGCUCAGUGGCAAAGCACUUGCCUACCAAGCAUGACGUCCUGGGUUCAAUCCCCAGUAUC
Molecule: transfer RNA, 65 nt
Filed under: Dipodomys ordii (Ord's kangaroo rat)
Lineage: Eukaryota; Metazoa; Chordata; Mammalia; Rodentia; Heteromyidae
Rfam family: tRNA
About the family: Transfer RNA (tRNA) molecules are approximately 80 nucleotides in length. Their secondary structure includes four short double-helical elements and three loops (D, anti-codon, and T loops).
Source: Rfam by way of RNAcentral